This 338-nucleotide long non-coding RNA is filed under the name Setaria viridis. Its description in RNAcentral is "long non-coding RNA (SVIR_LNC010809)". Lineage: Eukaryota; Viridiplantae; Streptophyta; Magnoliopsida; Poales; Poaceae. The record is from RNAcentral.
GAAUUAUUAUAGAACAUAGUUUGAAAUAAACUUAACAGUGCAGGUUAGAGGGAUUCUAGGAGUUUAAAACAUAAACUGGUCCGGGUGAGAGAUAAACAUUUAAGUUUUACUUCUAGGGUAUUACGAGACUCGUAACAAUAUCCUAGUUUUUUGGGGCUUCCUCCUCUGCGGACUCCUGCUGUGAUUCUGAAACAGCAACAAGGGAUAACCCUGAGUACGAGGUACUCAGCAAGGCUUACCGACCAACCAAUAUAAUAGCUUUUCUAGGACUACAUGAUAGCUGUUUAGUGUACUGGCUAACUCACCUUUAGCCAAAAGAGCUUACUAGAAGUGAGGCC